AAAAUGACUCUCGGCAACGGAUAUCUAGGCUCUCGCAUCGAUGAAGAACGUAGCGAAAUGUGAUACUUGGUGUGAAUUGCAGAAUCCCGUGAACCAUCGAGUUUUUGAACGCAAGUUGCGCCCGAAGCCAUUAGGCUGAGGGCACGUCUGCCUGGGCGUCA
This 161-nucleotide ribosomal RNA is filed under the name Carapichea ipecacuanha (ipecac). RNAcentral's name for it is "5.8S ribosomal RNA". It matches the Rfam family "5.8S ribosomal RNA". From Rfam's summary of the family: 5.8S ribosomal RNA (5.8S rRNA) is a component of the large subunit of the eukaryotic ribosome. It is transcribed by RNA polymerase I as part of the 45S precursor that also contains 18S and 28S rRNA. Lineage: Eukaryota; Viridiplantae; Streptophyta; Magnoliopsida; Gentianales; Rubiaceae. The record is from RNAcentral.